This 916-nucleotide ribosomal RNA is filed under the name uncultured archaeon. Its description in RNAcentral is "bacterial SSU rRNA". It matches the Rfam family "Archaeal small subunit ribosomal RNA", at positions 1 to 922 of the family's 1478-position model. The record is from RNAcentral.
UUUCCGGUUGAUCCCGCCGCCGGCCACCGCUAUCAAGUUCCGACUAAGCCAUGCGAGUCAAGGUAUCGUAAGAUGCCGGCAAACUGCUCAGUAACACGUGGAUAAUCUAACCUUGAGUAAGGGAUAACCUCGGGAAACUGAGGAUAAUACCUUAUAAUUGCUUAAAACUGGAAUGUUUAAGCAAUAAAAGUUCCGACGCUCAAGGAUGAGUCUGCGACCUAUCAGGUAGUAGGUGGUGUAAUGGACCACCUAGCCUCAGACGGGUACGGGCCCUGGGAGGGGUAGCCCGGAGAUGGACUCUGAGACAUCAGUCCAGGCCCUACGGGGCGCAGCAGGCGCGAACACUGUGCAAUGCGCGAAAGCGCGACACGGGGAGCUUGAGUGUCUUGGCAUAGCCAAGACUUUUCUCAUUCCUAAAAAGCAUGAGGAAUAAGUGCUGGGUAAGACGGGUGCCAGCCGCCGCGGUAACACCCGCAGCACAAGUGGUGGUCACUUUUAUUGAGCCUAAAGCGUUCGUAGCCGGUUUUGUAAAUCUUUAGAUAAAGCCUGAAGCUUAACUCCAGAAAGUCUGAAGAGACUGCAAGACUUGAGAUCGGGUGAGGUUAAACGUACUUUCAGGGUAGGGGUAAAAUCCUGUAAUCCCGGAAGGACGACCAGUGGCGAAAGCGUUUAACUAGAACGAAUCUGACGGUAAGGAACGAAGGCUAGGGUAGCAAACCGGAUUAGAUACCCGGGUAGUCCUAGCUGUAAACACUGCCCAUUUGAUGUUGCUUUUCCGUUGAGGGAAGGCAGUGUCGGAGCGAAGGUGUUAAAUGGGCCGCUUGGGAAGUAUGGUCGCAAGACUGAAACUUAAAGGAAUUGGCGGGGGAGCACCGCAACGGGAGGAAUGUGCGGUUUAAUUGGAUUCACCGCCGGG